ACGUACGCUGGCGGCACGCCUAACACAUGCAAGUCGAACGAAGUAGCAAUACUUAGUGGCAGACGGGUGAGUAACAUGUAGGUAUCUGCCCUUUGGCCUGGAAUAACACGAGGAAACUUGUGCUAAUACCGGAUAAGUCUUUACGGAGAAAGCUUUAUGCACCAUUGGAUGAGCCUGCACUUGAUUAGUUUGUUGGUGGGGUAAUGGCCUACCAAGACUGUGAUCAAUAGCUGAUUUGAGAGGAUGAUCAGCCACAUUGGGACUGAGACACGGCCCAAACUCCUACGGGAGGCAGCAGUGGGGAAUCUUGCACAAUGGAGGAAACUCUGAUGCAGCGAUGCCGCGUGAGUGAAGAAGGCCUUUGGGUUGUAAAGCUCUUUCGUCGGGGAAGAAAAUGACUGUACCCGAAUAAGAAGGUCCGGCUAACUUCGUGCCAGCAGCCGCGGUAAUACGAAGGGACCUAGCGUAGUUCGGAAUUACUGGGCUUAAAGAGUUCGUAGGUGGUUGAAAAAGUUAGUGGUGAAAUCCCAGAGCUUAACUCUGGAACUGCCAUUAAAACUUUUCAGCUAGAGUAUGAUAGAGGAAAGCAGAAUUUCUAGUGUAGAGGUGAAAUUCGUAGAUAUUAGAAAGAAUACCAAUUGCGAAGGCAGCUUUCUGGAUCAUUACUGACACUGAGGAACGAAAGCAUGGGUAGCGAAGAGGAUUAGAUACCCUCGUAGUCCAUGCCGUAAACGAUGUGUGUUAGACGUUGGAAAUUUAUUUUCAGUGUCGCAGGGAAACCGAUAAACACACCGCCUGGGGAGUACGACCGCAAGGUUAAAACUCAAAUGAAUUGACGGGGACCCGCACAAGUAGUGGAGCAUGUGGUUUAAUUCGAAGAUACGCGCAGAACCUUACCAACACUUGACAUGUUCGUCGCGACUCUAAGAGAUUAGAGUUUUCGGUUCGGCCGGACGAAACACAGGUGCUGCAUGGCUGUCGUCAGCUCGUGUCGUGAGAUGUUGGGUUAAGUCCCGCAACGAGCGCAACCCUCACUUUUAGUUGCCAUCAUUAAGUUGGGCACUCUGAAAGAACUGCCAGUGAUAAGCUGGAAGAAGGUGGGGAUGACGUCAAGUCCUCAUGGCCCUUACGUGUUGGGCUACACACGUGCUACAAUGGUAUCUACAACAGGAAGCAAGACUGCGAAGUUAAGCAAAUCCCUAAAAGAUACCUCAGUUCGGAUUGCACUCUGCAACUCGAGUGCAUGAAGCUGGAAUUACUAGUAAUCGUGGAUCAGCGUGCCACGGUGAAUGCGUUCCCGGGUCUUGUACACACCGCCCGUCAAGG
This 1326-nucleotide ribosomal RNA is filed under the name uncultured Alphaproteobacteria bacterium. RNAcentral's name for it is "bacterial SSU rRNA". It matches the Rfam family "Bacterial small subunit ribosomal RNA", at positions 29 to 1402 of the family's 1533-position model. The record is from RNAcentral. Lineage: Bacteria; Pseudomonadati; Pseudomonadota; Alphaproteobacteria.